GAUGAACGCUGGCGGCGUGCCUAAUACAUGCAAGUCGAGCGAACGGACGAGAAGCUUGCUUCUCUGAUGUUAGCGGCGGACGGGUGAGUAACACGUGGAUAACCUACCUAUAAGACUUGGAUAACUUCGGGAAACCGGAGCUACUACCGGAUGAUAUUUUGAACCGCAUGGUUCAAAAGUGAAAGACGGUCUUGCUGUCACUUAUAGAUGGAUCCGCGCUGCAUUAGCUAGUUGGUAAGGUAACGGCUUACCAAGGCAACGAUGCAUAGCCGACCUGAGAGGGUGAUCGGCCACACUGGAACUGAGACACGGUCCAGACUCCUACGGGAGGCAGCAGUAGGGAAUCUUCCGCAAUGGGCGAAAGCCUGACGGAGCAACGCCGCGUGAGUGAUGAAGGUCUUCGGAUCGUAAAACUCUGUUAUUAGGGAAGAACAUAUGUGUAAGUAACUGUGCACAUCUUGACGGUACCUAAUCAGAAAGCCACGGCUAACUACGUG
RNAcentral lists this ribosomal RNA (497 nucleotides) under uncultured bacterium. RNAcentral's name for it is "partial 16S ribosomal RNA". It matches the Rfam family "Bacterial small subunit ribosomal RNA", at positions 28 to 507 of the family's 1533-position model. The record is from RNAcentral.